Molecule: ribosomal RNA, 1412 nt
Filed under: uncultured bacterium
Lineage: Bacteria
Description: bacterial SSU rRNA
Rfam family: Bacterial small subunit ribosomal RNA
Source: RNAcentral
UCGAACGAUGAAGACCGUGCUUGCACGGUUGGAUUAGUGGCGAACGGGUGAGUAUCACGUGAGUAACCUUCCCUUGACUCUGGGAUAAGCCCGGGAAACUGGGUCUAAUACCGGAUACGACCAGUCCUCGCAUGGGGUGCUGGUGGAAAGAUUUAUCGGUCUUGGAUGGACUCGCGGCCUAUCAGCUUGUUGGUGAGGUAAUGGCUCACCAAGGCGAUGACGGGUAGCCGGCCUGAGAGGGUGACCGGCCACACUGGGACUGAGACACGGCCCAGACUCCUACGGGAGGCAGCAGUGGGGAAUAUUGCACAAUGGGCGAAAGCCUGAUGCAGCGACGCCGCGUGCGGGAUGACGGCCUUCGGGUUGUAAACCGCUUUCAGCAGGGAAGAAGCGAAAGUGACGGUACCUGCAGAAGAAGCGCCGGCUAACUACGUGCCAGCAGCCGCGGUAAUACGUAGGGCGCGAGCGUUAUCCGGAAUUAUUGGGCGUAAAGGGCUCGUAGGCGGUUUGUCACGUCUGCUGUGAAAGCCCGAGGCUCAACCUCGGGUGUGCAGUGGGUACGGGCAGACUAGAGUGCAGUAGGGGAGACUGGAAUUCCUGGUGUAGCGGUGAAAUGCGCAGAUAUCAGGAGGAACACCGAUGGCGAAGGCAGGUCUCUGGGCUGUUACUGACGCUGAGGAGCGAAAGCAUGGGGAGCGAACAGGAUUAGAUACCCUGGUAGUCCAUGCCGUAAACGUUGGGCACUAGGUGUGGGGGCCAUUCCACGUUUUCCGCGCCGUAGCUAACGCAUUAAGUGCCCCGCCUGGGGAGUACGGCCGCAAGGCUAAAACUCAAAGGAAUUGACGGGGGCCCGCACAAGCGGCGGAGCAUGCGGAUUAAUUCGAUGCAACGCGAAGAACCUUACCAAGGCUUGACAUGGACCGGAUCGCUGCAGAGAUGCAGUUUCCCUUCGGGGUCGGUUCACAGGUGGUGCAUGGUUGUCGUCAGCUCGUGUCGUGAGAUGUUGGGUUAAGUCCCGCAACGAGCGCAACCCCUAUCCUAUGUUGCCAGCACGUCAUGGUGGGGACUCAUGGGAGACUGCCGGGGUCAACUCGGAGGAAGGUGGGGACGACGUCAAAUCAUCAUGCCCCUUAUGUCUUGGGCUUCACGCAUGCUACAAUGGCCGGUACAAUGGGUUGCGAUACUGUGAGGUGGAGCUAAUCCCUAAAAGCCGGUCUCAGUUCGGAUCGAAGUCUGCAACUCGACUUCGUGAAGUUGGAGUCGCUAGUAAUCGCAGAUCAGCAACGCUGCGGUGAAUACGUUCCCGGGCCUUGUACACACCGCCCGUCAAGUCACGAAAGUGGGUAACACCCGAAGCCGGUGGCCUAACCCUUGUGGGGGGAGCCGUCGAAGGUGGGACUCGCGAUUGGGAC